UAGGGAAUCUUCGGCAAUGGGGGGAACCCUGACCGAGCAACGCCGCGUGAGUGAAGAAGGUUGUCGGAUCGUAAAGCUCUGUUGUUAAGGAAGAACGAGUGUGAGAAUGGAAAGUUCAUACUGUGACGGUACUUAACCAGAAAGGGACGGCUAACUACGUGCCAGCAGCCGCGGUAAUACGUAGGUCCCGAGCGUUGUCCGGAUUUAUUGGGCGUAAAGCGAGCGCAGGCGGUUAGAUAAGUCUGAAGUUAAAGGCAGUGGCUCAACCAUUGUAGGCUUUGGAAACUGUUUAACUUGAGUGCAGAAGGGGAGAGUGGAAUUCCAUGUGUAGCGGUGAAAUGCGUAGAUAUAUGGAGGAACACCGGUGGCGAAAGCGGCUCUCUGGUCUGUAACUGACGCUGAGGCUCGAAAGCGUGGGGAGCGAACAGG
RNAcentral lists this ribosomal RNA (429 nucleotides) under Bacteroidota bacterium. RNAcentral's name for it is "Bacteroidetes bacterium partial 16S ribosomal RNA". It matches the Rfam family "Bacterial small subunit ribosomal RNA", at positions 355 to 776 of the family's 1533-position model. The record is from RNAcentral. Lineage: Bacteria; Pseudomonadati; Bacteroidota.